ACUCCUACGGGAGGCAGCAGUGGGAAUAUUGGACAAUGGGGGCAACCCGUGCAUCCAGCAAUGCCGCGUGUGUGAAGAAGGCCUGCGGGUUGUAAAGCACUUUCAGUAGGGAGGAAUAACUCGUUGUUAAUACCAGCGAGUAAUGACGUUACCUACAGAAGAAGCACCGGCUAACUCUGUGCCAGCAGCCGCGGUAAUACAGAGGGUGCAAGCGUUAAUCGGAAUUACUGGGCGUAAAGCGCACGUAGGUGGAUAAGUAGGUUGGAUGUGAAAGCCCUGGGCUUAACCUGGGAAUGCCAUUCAAACCACUUGUCUAGAGUAUAGUAGAGGAAAGUGGAAUUUCCGGUGUAGCGGUGAAAUGCGUAGAUAUCGGAAGGAACACCAGUGGCGAAGGCGACUUUCUGGACUAAUACUGACACUGAGGUGCGAAAGCGUGGGGAGCGAACAGGAUUAGAUACCCUGGUAGGUCAGU
Molecule: ribosomal RNA, 472 nt
Filed under: uncultured bacterium
Lineage: Bacteria
Description: bacterial SSU rRNA
Rfam family: Bacterial small subunit ribosomal RNA
Source: RNAcentral